Bos taurus (domestic cattle) is the source of this 1085-nucleotide long non-coding RNA. NCBI's taxonomy places the organism in Eukaryota, Metazoa, Chordata, Mammalia, Artiodactyla, Bovidae. The record is from Ensembl.
GAGAAGGCCAAAUUUGUGAGAGCCCUCCUGUAGGAGGAAGGAAUCUUGGUCCCAGCAUUCUGCCAGUGCAAGGAGGUGGCAGCUAAAAACUUCUAAAGAUCCUGAGAAGAAAAGGCCCCAGACUGCUGGAGUUCAAAGUCCUGGCUGCAGUCUCCCAGGAGAGGUGGGCCCUCGCUUAUCACAGUUGAGGCCUGCCCCAAGGCCUCAGGUGCGAGGCCUCGCGCUAAGGCCACAGAAGCGGAGCCCAGAACCAAGGUCACCUCCGAAGCUGAUGGAGCCCUUUUGUAACCGCUGGUCAUCACUCACAAGCUUCCUGACUCCCAGUCAAGCAGCGAUGCCCGCUCCAGUAAACGCCCCUAUUGUGCCCCAACUGGUCGCCUAAUGCCAACCGUCCAGCGGGAAUUUUCUUUGUCUUCAGGCUCUAAAAACUGGCUAUUAACCCAUGAAAACUGUUGACUCCCCCUGGUCUGUCAGGCGUUAUUGGCCCACUGUGCCUGCACUGCCCACUUUAUCUCUCUGCUCUUGGCUCUUCAUAAACUCACUCCCUUCUGAAAUGCUCUGUGUCUGGAAAUUCUGUUCCAGCUUGCUCUUGGACUGCCUCAACACCUAUCUCUGGCCUCUGGGCCUCAGUUCCUUCAGGUGAAGGUGAAGGGUGAGGCCCUGGGGGUUCUGUAAAGACAUGAGAGGGAGUGGCAGGGAAGCUAGGAAGGGGGGGUCUCUGGGAAUCAGCCCCACAUCACCUGCUCACCUGGCAAACCUCGGCCCAUCCAUUAAGCCACCAUCCAGGCACCGUCUCCUCCUGGAAGCCUUCCAGACCUGUCCUAGACCUGCCUAAAGGCCUCCUCCGGGUGGUCACAGAUUACAAGCUAUCUCCUAUCUCCUCCUAUCACAAGCUAUCAAAGAAGUACCUUUGUAAUAGGAGAUAUUAUAGGAGAUACUACAAAGGUACACACCUUUGUAAUUGUCUACACGCUUAUUUACCUGUCAUCAAAGAAUAAGUAAGUGAAGUCGCUCAGUGGUGUCCAACUCUUUGCGACCCCAUGGACUGUAGCCUACCAGGCUCCUCUGUCCAUGCGAUUUUCCAG